RNAcentral lists this ribosomal RNA (312 nucleotides) under Niabella sp. RNAcentral describes it as "partial 23S ribosomal RNA". It matches the Rfam family "Bacterial large subunit ribosomal RNA", at positions 2600 to 2925 of the family's 2925-position model. The record is from RNAcentral. Lineage: Bacteria; Pseudomonadati; Bacteroidota; Chitinophagia; Chitinophagales; Chitinophagaceae.
GCGAGCUGGGUUCAGAACGUCGCGAGACAGUUCGGUCCCUAUCUGUUGUGGGCGUUGGAAGUUUGAGUGGAUCUGACCUUAGUACGAGAGGACCGGGUUGGACAGACCUCUGGUGAACCUGUUAUGCCGCCAGGUGUACGGCAGGGUAGCUACGUCUGGAAUAGAUAAGCGCUGAAAGCAUCUAAGUGCGAAACUAGCCACGAGAUGAGACUUCCUUAUAGGGUCGUAGAAGAUGACUACGUUGAUAGGCCAUAGGUGUAAAGGUUGAGAGACCAAAGCCAAGUGGUACUAAUAGCCCGAAGCUUUCUCAAG